Molecule: ribosomal RNA, 497 nt
Filed under: uncultured bacterium
Lineage: Bacteria
Description: partial 16S ribosomal RNA
Rfam family: Bacterial small subunit ribosomal RNA
Source: RNAcentral
GAUGAACGCUGGCGGCGUGCCUAAUACAUGCAAGUCGAGCGAACAGAUGAGGAGCUCGCUCCUCUGACGUUACCGGCGGACGGGUGAGUAACACGUGCAUAACCUACCUAUAAGACUGGGAUAACUUCGGGAAACCUGAGCUAAUACCCGAUAAUAUAUUGAAACGCAUGGACCUAUAGUGAAAGACGGUUUUGAUGUCACUUAUAGAUGGAUCCGCGUCGCAUUAGCUAGUUGGUAGGGUAACGGCUUACCAAGGCAACGAUGCGUAGCCGACCUGAGAGGGUGACCAGCCACACUGGAACUGAGACACGGUCCAGACUCCUACGGGAGGCAGCAGUAGGGAAUCUUGCGCAAUGGGCGAAAGCCUGACGGAGCAACGCCGCGUGAAGGAUGAAGGUCUUCGGAUUGUAAAAUGCUGUUAUUAGGGAAGAAAAAGUUUUGAAUAAACUAUGCACGUCUUGACGGUACCGAAACAAAAAGCCACGGCUAACUACGUG